UGCAGCCGAGCGGUAGAGAUCUUUCGGGAUCUUGAGAGCGGCGUACGGGUGCGNNACACGUGUGCAACCUGCCUUUAUCAGGGGGAUAGCCUUUCGAAAGGAAGAUUAAUACCCCAUAAUAUAGUUGAUGGCAUCAUUGAUUAUUGAAAACUGAGGUGGAUAGAGAUGGGCACGCGCAAGAUUAGAUAGUUGGUAGGGUAACGGCCUACCAAGUCAGUGAUCUUUAGGGGGCCUGAGAGGGUGAUCCCCCACACUGGUACUGAGACACGGACCAGACUCCUACGGGAGGCAGCAGUGAGGAAUAUUGGACAAUGGGUGAGAGCCUGAUCCAGCCAUCCCGCGUGAAGGACGACGGCCCUAUGGGUUGUAAACUUCUUUUGUACAGGGAUAAACCUUUCCACGUGUGGAAAGCUGAAGGUACUGUACGAAUAAGCACCGGCUAACUCCGUGCCAGCAGCCGCGGUAAUACGGAGGGUGCAAGCGUUAUCCGGAUUUAUUGGGUUUAAAGGGUCCGUAGGCGGAUCUGUAAGUCAGUGGUGAAAUCUCAUAGCUUAACUAUGAAACUGCCAUUGAUACUGCAGGUCUUGAGUAAGGUAGAAGUAGCUGGAAUAAGUAGUGUAGCGGUGAAAUGCAUAGAUAUUACUUAGAACACCAAUUGCGAAGGCAGGUUACUAUGUCUUAACUGACGCUGAUGGACGAAAGCGUGGGGAGCGAACAGGAUUAGAUACCCUGGUAGUCCACGCCGUAAACGAUGCUAACUCGUUUUUGGGUUUUCGGAUUCAGAGACUAAGCGAAAGUGAUAAGUUAGCCACCUGGGGAGUACGAACGCAAGUUUGAAACUCAAAGGAAUUGACGGGGGCCCGCACAAGCGGUGGAUUAUGUGGUUUAAUUCGAUGAUACGCGAGGAACCUUACCAAGACUUAAAUGGGAAUUGACCGGUUUAGAAAUAGACCUUCCUUCGGGCAAUUUUCAAGGUGCUGCAUGGUUGUCGUCAGCUCGUGCCGUGAGGUGUUAGGUUAAGUCCUGCAACGAGCGCAACCCCUGUCACUAGUUGCCAUCAUUCAGUUGGGGACUCUAGUGAGACUGCCUACGCAAGUAGAGAGGAAGGUGGGGAUGACGUCAAAUCAUCACGGCCCUUACGUCUUGGGCCACACACGUAAUACAAUGGCCGGUACAGAGGGCAGCUACACAGCGAUGUGAUGCAAAUCUCGAAAGCCGGUCUCAGUUCGGAUUGGAGUCUGCAACUCGACUCUAUGAAGCUGGAAUCGCUAGUAAUCGCGCAUCAGCCAUGGCGCGGUGAAUACGUUCCCGGGCCUUGUACACACCGCCCGUCAAGCCAUGGAAGUCUGGGGUACCUGAAGUCGGUGACCGUAACAGGAGC
Molecule: ribosomal RNA, 1381 nt
Filed under: Chryseobacterium defluvii
Lineage: Bacteria; Pseudomonadati; Bacteroidota; Flavobacteriia; Flavobacteriales; Weeksellaceae
Description: bacterial SSU rRNA
Rfam family: Bacterial small subunit ribosomal RNA
Source: RNAcentral